This 705-nucleotide long non-coding RNA is filed under the name Pelobates cultripes (western spadefoot toad). The record is from RNAcentral. Lineage: Eukaryota; Metazoa; Chordata; Amphibia; Anura; Pelobatidae.
ACGUACUCUGGACUCAAGCUUCUGAAGCUGCUUCUUGCCACCUUUCAGUGCUAGCUGCUCAGCUUCAUCCAGACGAUGCUGCAGAUCCUUCACGGAUUGCUCAAGAUUCUUCUUCAUUCUCUCCAAGUGAGAGCUGGUGUCCUGCUCCUUCUUCAGUUCCUCUGCCAUAAGAGCAGCCUUCGUAAUAAAAAAAAAAAAUCCAAAAAGACUGUAAAUAAUAGAGCAAAAAAGCAAACCCAAGAUCUGCUCAUAAAGUGAAAACUUGGGAAAAACAUACAUCAGUGAUGGCCUUUUUGGCUUUCUCCUCAGCAUUUCUUGAUUCUUGGACAGCUUCCUCAGCUUCGCUCUGGAGUUGAGCAAUGUCAGACUCAAGCUUCUUCUUGGUGCCGAUGAGGUUGGUGUUCUGAAGUGGAGAAGAAUAUAGUGUUUUAAUUAUUCCAUCUAAUUAGGCAUAUUCUGUCAAUGCACAUUUAAUUUGUUUCCAUCGUAUUUAUUUUACCUGUGAGUGCAGAAGCUGGACACGUUCACUUGCAUCCAGGAGCUCUUGUUCUGCAGCCUUACGAGAUCUCUCUGUCUGCUCCAGAGCAGACCUGUUCUCUUCAAGUUCAGCCUGCAGCAGGUUGGUUCUACGUUCAAUCACAGCCACCUGUUCCUUCAGAUCUUCCUGUCCUCUUAUUGCAUCAUCCAGGUGAAGCUGGGCAUCCU